CAUACUUCCCCAAAUUCAAGCUAGGUAUUCUUUGGCUGACUUCGCUAGGUAUUCUAGGUAUCCUUUGGUUGAAUUCGCUUUCUCUUCAACACCGCCUCCGUCCGACACCACCACCGGCGACCACCAUCGCCUACCCUCUCUCUCUUCCUUAUUCUCUUUCUUCCCCAUUUCUCCAUUUUUUCGUUCCUGCGUGCGACACCCCUGUUCGUGGAGUCACCCUCUGUCCGCGUUUUCAAGCACCGACAAGCAACCACCAACGGCGGCGACCUUCUGUGCCACUGCGACAUCACCACCACCCCACCGCCUCUCCGUUCUUCUUCCUCCUUUCAUCAAUGCAGCUUUCUUAAAAGAUUCCCUCUCUCUCUGGUGCUGCAAAGUUAGGGUUUCCUAUGACCAGCUUCUUGGAGCUUAGUUAGUUUUCUGCUUCUUUGUGAAGUAUGAGGAAUCAUCAAUAUUGAAAGAAUAUUCAGUUUUUUGCUACCGAACUCAAGAUUCUGAUAUACUCUUUUGUAAUAUUU
This is a non-coding RNA of Arachis ipaensis, 518 nucleotides long. Lineage: Eukaryota; Viridiplantae; Streptophyta; Magnoliopsida; Fabales; Fabaceae. The record is from RefSeq and is a predicted model, not a curated record.